RNAcentral lists this ribosomal RNA (497 nucleotides) under uncultured bacterium. Its description in RNAcentral is "partial 16S ribosomal RNA". It matches the Rfam family "Bacterial small subunit ribosomal RNA", at positions 28 to 507 of the family's 1533-position model. The record is from RNAcentral.
GAUGAACGCUGGCGGCGUGCCUAAUACAUGCAAGUCGAGCGAACAGACGAAGAGCUUGCUCCUCGGACGUUAGCGGCUGAGGGUUGAUUAACACGUGGAGAACCUAGCUAUAAGACUGGAAUAACUUCGGGAAACCGGAGCUAAUACCGGAUAAUAUAUUGAACCUCAUGGUUCAAUAGUGAAAUACGGUUUUGCUGUCACUUAUACAUGGAUCCGCGCCGCAUUAGCUAGUUGGUAAGGUAACGGCUUACCAAGGCAACGAUGCGUAGCCGACAUGAGAGGGUGAUCGGCCACACUGGAACUGAGACACGGUCCAGACUCCUACGGGAGGAAGCAGUAGGGAAUCUUCCGCAAUGGGCGAAAGCCUGACGGAGCAACGCCGAGUGAGUGAUGAAGGUCUUCGGAUCGUAAAACUCUGUUAUUAGGGAAGACCAAAUGUGUAAGUAAAUAUGCACGUCUUGACGGUACCUAAUCAGAAAGCCACGGCUAACUACGUG